RNAcentral lists this transfer RNA (90 nucleotides) under Salmonella enterica. RNAcentral's name for it is "tRNA-Ser". It matches the Rfam family "tRNA". Rfam says of the family: Transfer RNA (tRNA) molecules are approximately 80 nucleotides in length. The record is from RNAcentral. Lineage: Bacteria; Pseudomonadati; Pseudomonadota; Gammaproteobacteria; Enterobacterales; Enterobacteriaceae.
GGAAGGGUACGUUAAUAGGUAAACGAGCUGAUUGCUAAUCAGUAAUUCUGAAAUAUGGGUUUGUGGGUUCGAGUCCCGCUCCUUCCGCUA